RNAcentral lists this ribosomal RNA (301 nucleotides) under uncultured bacterium. RNAcentral describes it as "partial 16S ribosomal RNA". It matches the Rfam family "Bacterial small subunit ribosomal RNA", at positions 508 to 808 of the family's 1533-position model. The record is from RNAcentral.
GCAGCAGCCGCGGUAAUACAGAGGGUGCGAGCGUUAAUCGGAUUUACUGGGCGUAAAGCGUGCGUAGGCGGCUUCUUAAGUCGGAUGUGAAAUCCCUGAGCUUAACUUAGGAAUUGCAUUCGAUACUGGGAAGCUAGAGUAUGGGAGAGGAUGGUAGAAUUCCAGGUGUAGCGGUGAAAUGCGUAGAGAUCUGGAGGAAUACCGAUGGCGAAGGCAGCCAUCUGGCCUAAUACUGACGCUGAGGUACGAAAGCAUGGGGAGCAAACAGGAUUAGAUACCCCUGUAGUCCCUGUCUCUUAUA